GUUGUUACAUAGCAUUCCCUUCAGUUUGAUCCUUUCUCCUCUUCUAUGUGCUCCUAUUUGUCAUUGCAAUCCCUUUGAUUAGAUUUGUGUUGUUUCUUCUUCUAAUUUUCUUAGAGUUGAAAUCAGAUGAUGAGAAAAUAACUGCAACAAUAUGAUGUAUUUGGGAGAAGUGAUGAACAAAUUUGGUCCGUGUUUCUGAUUGCACAGUGACAGAUAAAUCCAUUAUUUUACUCUCCUGAUCUCCCACUAAUUCCUAAUUUUUCAUGUCACAAUUACGUUUCCCUUUGUCUGUAAGGCUGUGUACAUCCUACCCUCCCUAGACCUCACUUGUGGGAUUACACUGGGCUGUUGUUGUUGUUUAAUUAUGUUUCCUUUUGUUUUUUGGGGCGGAGAUCUAUGCAGAUUUUUGAAAAGCAGUAGCUCAAUGAUUAGAUGCCUUAUGGGCAAUAUACGCUAUUCCGAUUUAAAGCAUGAAGAUUGAAUUUUUUCUAGUAUGAGAGCUAUUUGUAUUUUUUUAAAGCUUUUGUGGAAUUGUUAUUUUAUGUGUGUUUUGGUUAUUUCGCGAUUUCUGCCGUGAUGAAUUCAUGAAAAUUUCACAUGUCAGACUUCAGAGAGAAAUCUAUGAGAAGAGAUUCAUGUAUCCUGAGCAGAAUGCACUUUAUAUUCAACCUUUGGUGCCUUGUUUCCAAAUUAAUUAGUAUUGCCUAACUUAGUUUCAGUUCAAAACUUAUCUCUAAUGUUUGGUCGUGUGUAACUUGAUUGCUGUGACUGGAUGUGUUUUCUUUUGGUUAAACGCUGUGACUGUAUGUGUUAGAGGCUGUCAGUUUGUACUAAUGAUUAUGAUUAAGUGUUUUAUGAAAUUUCAGAUUGAACGUU
This is a long non-coding RNA of Nicotiana attenuata, 876 nucleotides long. RefSeq lists it as uncharacterized. The record is from RefSeq and is a predicted model, not a curated record. NCBI's taxonomy places the organism in Eukaryota, Viridiplantae, Streptophyta, Magnoliopsida, Solanales, Solanaceae. The transcript has 2 exons.